AAUAUUUCACAAUGGGCGAAAGCCUGAUCCAGCCAUGCCGCGUGUGUGAAGAAGGUCUUCGGAUUGUAAUGCACUUGAAGUUGGGAGGAAGGGUUGUAGGUUAAUACCCUGCAAUUUUGACGUUACCAACAGAAUAAGCACCGGCUCACUUCGUGCCAGCAGUCGUGGUAAUACGAAGGGUGCAAGCGUUAAUCGGAAUUAUUGGGCGUAACGCGCGCGUAGGUGGUUCUUUAAGUUGGAAGUUAAAGCCCCGGGCUUAACCUGGGAAUUGCUUUCAAAACUGACGAGCUAGAGUACGGUAGAGGGUAGUGGAAUUUCCUGUGUAGCGGUGAAAUGCGUAGAUAUAGGAAGGAACAUCAGUGGCGAAGGCGACUACCUGGACUGAUACUGACACUGAGGUGCGAAAGCGUGGGGAGCAAACAGG
RNAcentral lists this ribosomal RNA (424 nucleotides) under uncultured bacterium. RNAcentral describes it as "partial 16S ribosomal RNA". It matches the Rfam family "Bacterial small subunit ribosomal RNA", at positions 360 to 776 of the family's 1533-position model. The record is from RNAcentral.